AAAUUUAUUGUUUUCUUACCGUUUUUCCUAAUUAUAAUUUAAUUUAAUGCAAAAUUAGUAUUAAUGUGAUACUUUUGAAUCAUUUUGUAAACCGUCGUUAAAAUAUAUAAAAAGUGACGCUAGUAUAUUUAAAGUGAAGCAAAAUAAGUUAACGUCGGCCACUAAUAUGUCAAUUUUGUAA
This 181-nucleotide small RNA is filed under the name Arabidopsis thaliana (thale cress). RNAcentral describes it as "ATSL260230". The record is from RNAcentral. Lineage: Eukaryota; Viridiplantae; Streptophyta; Magnoliopsida; Brassicales; Brassicaceae.